This 75-nucleotide transfer RNA is filed under the name Bacteroides sp. Its description in RNAcentral is "tRNA-Cys". It matches the Rfam family "tRNA". From Rfam's summary of the family: Transfer RNA (tRNA) molecules are approximately 80 nucleotides in length. Their secondary structure includes four short double-helical elements and three loops (D, anti-codon, and T loops). The record is from RNAcentral. Lineage: Bacteria; Pseudomonadati; Bacteroidota; Bacteroidia; Bacteroidales; Bacteroidaceae.
GCAGAAUAGUUCAGCAGGUAGAACAGCAGGAUACAACCCUGUAUGGUCCCCGGUUCGAGUCCGGGUUCUGCCCCA